AGUGUUUAUGUUACAGUAUGUAAACAGUUUUCUAUUGAUGCUCGCAAAAACAUAUAUAAAUUGUGUUGACUAUGCGUGUUGACUAUCGAAUAAUAUAAACAGAUUUUAAAUCUGUUUAUGUAUAUCUAUGUCAAAACUAGUUUUAAUAUCUGAUAAAUGUUUAUUUUAUAUUUGAUUUUAUGAUCUAUUUACUUGUACGAUUUAUACUAUAAGAGAAGAUAAAAUAGAAAUAUUGUAAUAAAAGCAAGUUUUCGAACAAUACAAGAAUAUCAAAAUCUAACUCGAUACCACUCGAAUUUUUCCGAUUCUUCCCGAAGUUUUCGAGACUUGAGCAAGCCUACCUUCAAUCUAAUAAUGUACCAGUCACUUACGUAAAUCGUUCUAUGUAAAUCCAAUUGGUCUGCAUGAAACAAAAGCAGCUAAGAAGAGAGAAAGGAAAGUGUGGAUACUAUGCAGUAGAUAGAGACCAAGCAUAGAUGGAAUUUGAUCGAGAAACUGAAAUGCAAAACCACCUCUCGUGGCAGCUCGAGCGUUUCCACUUCGGUAUUUCAUAACUCCGACUCGCCGAUCCGGAAUGCAGGAGUUCUGACAGGAUAUUCCCAGGCUACGUCCAGGAUGUUCCCAGAGUGGAAAUAUAGCCAUUUCAAUAAUCCAUGAGAGAUUCGAAAUCGAUCAAUCUUGUUCGAAGUAUAGAAUAAUUUUUAUUUUUUACUGAUAAGUAA
Long non-coding RNA from Apis dorsata (giant honeybee), 722 nucleotides. RefSeq lists it as uncharacterized. The transcript is spliced from 2 exons. Lineage: Eukaryota; Metazoa; Arthropoda; Insecta; Hymenoptera; Apidae. The record is from RefSeq and is a predicted model, not a curated record.